This 962-nucleotide ribosomal RNA is filed under the name uncultured Bacteroidales bacterium. RNAcentral's name for it is "bacterial SSU rRNA". It matches the Rfam family "Bacterial small subunit ribosomal RNA", at positions 386 to 1351 of the family's 1533-position model. The record is from RNAcentral. Lineage: Bacteria; Pseudomonadati; Bacteroidota; Bacteroidia; Bacteroidales.
AACCAGCCAUGCCGCGUGCAGGAAGACGGCUCUAUGAGUUGUAAACUGCUUUUAUACAGGGAUAAUUGUGAGUACGUGUACUCACUUGCAGGUACUGUAAGAAUAAGGAUCGGCUAACUCCGUGCCAGCAGCCGCGGUAAUACGGAGGAUCCAAGCGUUAUCCGGAUUUAUUGGGUUUAAAGGGUGCGUAGGCGGCACAGUAAGUUAGCGGUGAAAUCCGGGGGCUUAACCCUCGAAUUGCCGUUAAAACUGCUGAGCUAGAGAUUAGAUGCGGUAGGCGGAAUGUGUAGUGUAGCGGUGAAAUGCUUAGAGAUUACACAGAACACCGAUUGCGAAGGCAGCUUACCAAUCUAUGUCUGACGUUGAGGCACGAAAGCGUGGGUAGCAAACAGGAUUAGAUACCCUGGUAGUCCACGCAGUAAACGAUGAUAGCUCGUUGUCGGCGAUACACAGUCGGUGACUUAGCGAAAGCGUUAAGCUAUCCACCUGGGGAGUACGUUCGCAAGAAUGAAACUCAAAGGAAUUGACGGGGGCCCGCACAAGCGGAGGAACAUGUGGUUUAAUUCGAUGAUACGCGAGGAACCUUACCCGGGCUUGAAAGUUAUUGACGAAUCUGGAAACAGAUUUUCCCUUCGGGGCAAGAAACUAGGUGCUGCAUGGUUGUCGUCAGCUCGUGCCGUGAGGUGUCGGAUUAAGUUCCAUAACGAGCGCAACCCUUGCCGUUAGUUGCCAUCAGGUCAUGCUGGGCACUCUAGCGGGACUGCCGGUGUAAACCGCGAGGAAGGUGGGGAUGACGUCAAAUCAGCACGGCCCUUACGUCCGGGGCGACACACGUGUUACAAUGGUCGGUACAGAGGGCAGCUACCCAGCGAUGGGAUGCGAAUCUCGAAAGCCGAUCUCAGUUCGGAUCGGAGGCUGAAACUCGCCUCCGUGAAGUUGGAUUCGCUAGUAAUCGCGCAUCA